Podospora didyma is the source of this 88-nucleotide non-coding RNA. The record is from the annotation of a GenBank genome assembly. NCBI's taxonomy places the organism in Eukaryota, Fungi, Ascomycota, Sordariomycetes, Sordariales, Podosporaceae.
GGGCUAAUGGUCUAGUGGUAUGAUUUUCGCUUCGCAUUGUUAAGAUGCCGCCUGUGAAAGGUCCCCGGUUCAAUCCCGGGUUAGUCCA